Molecule: unclassified non-coding RNA, 341 nt
Filed under: fungal sp.
Lineage: Eukaryota; Fungi
Description: partial internal transcribed spacer region
Rfam family: Eukaryotic small subunit ribosomal RNA (bases 1-46)
Source: RNAcentral
AAGUCGUAACAAGGUUUCCGUAGGUGAACCUGCGGAAGGAUCAUUACUGAAUGCUCCAGCUUGCUGGACUUUCCUGCCUUGGGUUGCCGCUGAAAAUGCGGUAAUCCUUGGUUACCCACACCUGUGCAUUGCACUUCUCCUUUGGUAGGUUUCGGUUCUCUCUUUCUUUAUGUAAGAGGAUUCCGACUCUGGCUGAUUACCAUUCUGCUGCACUUGCUUGCAAGACAGCGGAAUGGCCAGCUGGCGCGGCCUGCCAGAGGAACCCACAACAUACUGUUCCUGUAGACUGUACCUUAUAUUUUAAAUAUAAACAACUUUUAACAACGGAUCUCUUGGCUCUC